UACGUAGGCUGUUAUUUAAGUCAGAUGUGAAAGCCCCGGGCUUAACCUGGGAACUGCAUUUGAUACUGGGUAACUAGAGUCUGGUAGAGGGUAGUGGAAUUCCACGUGUAGCGGUGAAAUGCGUAGAUAUGUGGAGGAACAUCAGUGGCGAAGGCGACUGCCCGGACCAAGACUGACGCUGAGGUACGAAAGCGUGGGGAGCAAACA
Molecule: ribosomal RNA, 207 nt
Filed under: uncultured bacterium
Lineage: Bacteria
Description: partial 16S ribosomal RNA
Rfam family: Bacterial small subunit ribosomal RNA
Source: RNAcentral